UGUCUUAGUUAUUCAAUUUUC
Molecule: non-coding RNA, 21 nt
Filed under: Caenorhabditis elegans
Lineage: Eukaryota; Metazoa; Nematoda; Chromadorea; Rhabditida; Rhabditidae
Source: RNAcentral